This 234-nucleotide unclassified non-coding RNA is filed under the name uncultured fungus. Its description in RNAcentral is "partial contains 5.8S ribosomal RNA, internal transcribed spacer 2, and large subunit ribosomal RNA". Lineage: Eukaryota; Fungi. The record is from RNAcentral.
AACGCACAUUGCGCCCCCUGGCAUUCCGGGGGGCAUGCCUGUUCGAGCGUCAUUACACCCCUCAAACUUGACUGUUUGAUGUUGGGCGUUGCCUGGUGGCACGCCUAAAAACCAGCGACGGUUCCAGCCAACCUCAAACGUGCAAGUAGCGUGAUGGUGGGCGGUUGGGGCUUGUCUGUCUAGUAACACCUAAAUGUUGACCUCGGAUCAGGUAGGAAUACCCGCUGAACUUAA